CGGCCUUCGGGUUGUAAACCUCUUUCAGUAGGGAAGAAGCGAAAGUGACGGUACCUGCAGAAGAAGCGCCGGCUAACUACGUGCCAGCAGCCGCGGUAAUACGUAGGGCGCAAGCGUUAUCCGGAAUUAUUGGGCGUAAAGAGCUCGUAGGCGGUUUGUCGCGUCUGCCGUGAAAGUCCGGGGCUCAACUCCGGAUCUGCGGUGGGUACGGGCAGGCUAGAGUGAUGUAGGGGAGACUGGAAUUCCUGGUGUAGCGGUGAAAUGCGCAGAUAUCAGGAGGAACACCGAUGGCGAAGGCAGGUCUCUGGGCAUUAACUGACGCUGAGGAGCGAAAGCAUGGGGAGCGAACAGGAUUAGAUACCCUGGUAGUCCAUGCCGUAAACGUUGGGCACUAGGUGUGGGGGACAUUCCACGUUUUCCGCGCCGUAGCUAACGCAUUAAGUGCCCCGCCUGGGGAGUACGGCCGCAAGGCUAAAACUCAAAGGAAUUGACGGGGGCCCGCACAAGCGGCGGAGCAUGCGGAUUAAUUCGAUGCAACGCGAAGAACCUUACCAAGGCUUGACAUGGACCGGACCGCCGCAGAGAUGUGGUUUCUCCUUUUGGGGCCGGUUCACAGGUGGUGCAUGGUUGUCGUCAGCUCGUGUCGUGAGAUGUUGGGUUAAGUCCCGCAACGAGCGCAACCCUCGUUCCAUGUUGCCAGCGCGUAAUGGCGGGGACUCAUGGGAGACUGCCGGGGUCAACUCGGAGGAAGGUGGGGACGACGUCAAAUCAUCAUGCCCCUUAUGUCUUGGGCUUCACGCAUGCUACAAUGGCCGGUACAAAGGGUUGCGAUACUGUGAGGUGGAGCUAAUCCCAAAAAGCCGGUCUCAGUUCGGAUUGGGGUCUGCAACUCGACCCCAUGAAGUCGGAGUCGCUAGUAAUCGCAGAUCAGCAACGCUGCGGUGAAUACGUUCCCGGGCCUUGUACACACCGCCCGUCAAGUCACGAAAGUUGGUAACACCCGAAGC
This 1007-nucleotide ribosomal RNA is filed under the name Arthrobacter sp. RNAcentral describes it as "bacterial SSU rRNA". It matches the Rfam family "Bacterial small subunit ribosomal RNA", at positions 412 to 1427 of the family's 1533-position model. Lineage: Bacteria; Bacillati; Actinomycetota; Actinomycetes; Micrococcales; Micrococcaceae. The record is from RNAcentral.